Cavia porcellus (domestic guinea pig) is the source of this 3423-nucleotide long non-coding RNA. RefSeq lists it as uncharacterized. Lineage: Eukaryota; Metazoa; Chordata; Mammalia; Rodentia; Caviidae. The transcript has 5 exons. The record is from RefSeq and is a predicted model, not a curated record.
UGAUUAAAAACUGACUUGUGUGGGAGCUGUGAGGAGCUCCUUAAACGCUAAACAAGAUUCUUUUCUUGGUGGGAGGGGGAGCUACGUAAGGAGCCUCUGGCAUAGGUAUUUUCACUUUAAGAGGCGAUGAAUUCAGGGACCUGGGAAAGGUUUAAACAUGAGUCUUAAAUUAUUUGCUCAGCUUUGAUUUUUAUUUUACAAGAUGCCGGGGCAGUGCUGGGAGCUAUUUGCAGAAGGGGUGCAUAAGAGAGAUGAAGAGAGACGAGAAGUGGAUUUACCCAGAUGUUGCCUCGUAGAAAAAAAUAUGUGUGCGCUGGGCAGGGGCUUGCUUCUCUAAUGUGCAAGCAUGAAGAACUUCAGGUUCUGCCCCGGGGCUCACUGGAGGGAGAUUUGAUUUCUGUUCUAGCAAUUUUGUCCCUCUGCCAGUAUACAUUGAGCUAAGUCGUUAUUGAGAAUGGCCCCUCUUGAGGAAGAGAAAGAAGACCAGCUAUUUAUAGGCUGGAGUCAGACGCGACCCACCUUUUCAGCCUGUAAUUUACAGUCUAUGAUGAGAAAAUGAACUUCUAUUGCAGCGGGAAUGUGGAAGGACAGAAGACAGAUUUCUUAGCAGCUUGGGGUUUGGCUUGUGUACUUACGGAAUGACUGUGAAAAUGGCCAUUCCUUCGCCAGGAGACUGCUUUCACUGAUCCGCAGUCACCGAUGCCAAGGGUGCCUACGCCCUGUCUCUUUUGGGGACUGAUGGCAUCUUUAGGGCUAGGCGUGUGGUGGAGGGAAGAGAUUUUGCACCUGAGAGACAAGAAGAGGACCACAGGGAAAACUGAGAAGGGAUGCAGUGUUUUAUGAUUUAAGGCGGUGCUCUGGUUUUACAAUGCAGUAAACGUGACAUUGAAGAGAUCUGUUAAUGGGAGAGGGGUAUAUUUGCUUCUUGAUUGUAGUCUUGGCCAUUGUUUGGGCUAGAGCUCCCCGGCUUGAGUCAGAAACCCUUGAUGAAGUUCAGAGACUGAAGACAGCUUUUCAUCUCCCAGCAGCCUGUGUUUCUCAAGCUCUCUAGAGAUCAUGCAAAGCUCAGCUGCAGCUCAGGUGCCCCAGUCUUCACCAUCGUCUCUGGAUUUUGGUCUCCAACAUCUUCAGACUUCCAGGGCAGACUCUUGAACUUCUGACAGCCUCGCACGGGGAACUCUGCAUCAGCUUUCAUCCUUUGACUGCUGCGGGAUCUCGGGCCUUGCAGUAUGCAGAGCACCCUAACUGAUCCAAGGAAGCUGACAGAUCUCUAAAGACGGCUUCCACUGGGGAGAAGUUUGAGGAGCAGCCCUGUCAGGCUGUCUGGCUGCAUGAGGAAAGCAGGGCAGGAGAGUGAGAAAUGCAAAAGGAGACCGAAGACCUCCCCCAGGCUGACUCACUCCGCCCAUUCGGAUGCUGAGACUUCCACACACUGCUGGCAGUAGAGGCUGGUGGGAAGAAGCCAGGGCACCGUGGGUAGAUCCCCACAGAAGCCACCCGGAGCUCGUAAUCAGAAAAUUGGAGCAAUACGCGGGCUACUCUUAGAGUUCUGAGAGCUGCUUGUUAACCCUUCCGUUGAGGAGCAGGAAGCCAUCCAUGACGUGGAAUUUGACCUUCAUCUGCUGCUGAAGAAGAUGAGACAAAGUCAGGACUGACUACCAUCAGAGAGACCAAUGUCGAGUCUUCACCCUGAGGCAAAGUGGAGGGAAAGAGACCAAUCGAUGUGAGGUGCAGAAAUCCUAGGAGACACAAGAGCCGCUGUACCUGAGGAGCACAGAGGAUCCCUUACUACCUGGAGAGGCCCCUCACCCGAAGCCAACGGUGAUAAGACAGGAAAGCAAUGAAGUGUGCUGUGCUGCGCCAUCGCCGACUGCGUGGAGGACCGUUCCUUCUGACAGUUAGCGUGUCCAGGCUCAGACGCUGACUCACUGUGAGAGUAGCAGUCGCCUGAUCUCUAAUGGAACUCACCCUGGGUGGGAAACUAAUGAACACCCAGAUUGCACUGUUCAGUGCACAGAGCUCUGCGUACAACGCGGGUCUGUCUGACUGCAGGGACAGUGCCAUCAAUCUGGUUCUUCGUAAAGUCCUCUGGACUACAGUGGGACCACAGGGUGGGGUGGAACGUGCAGGGCAAAACCCAGCUCCCAGUGUUCCUGAGACGGAGAUGACUUCCAAACUGGGUGUAAGGGUGUUUUUGUUGAAUGAUGCACCGUCUGUUUCUCCUCCUUACUCCACCAGCAUGUUCUCAGCCCAUUGUGCCCCUCGCGAACACUUCCCCUACAAAGAAACCAUGGCAGCUUUGGAACUUGGAACCAGGCUAAUCCUUGGGUCUCAGGCAGGGAGCUCAGGGAGCCUUGGCUUUGGAGUAGCCUCUGGGGUGCUUACCGAAGCCUGCUGGCCUGCCUAGAGCUUGGUCUUUUGUGGCAAAAACUAGGUCUGAGGUCCACUUGGGGCAGAGAUCAGGAGUGCCCGGGACUCUUGAGCUACUCUUCUCCCAUGUAAUCAAGAGGCUCAAAAAUAGAGAACAUUAUCGGAUGUUUAAUUAUUCCCUUGCUGGGCUGCCUCCCCAGCUGGGACCCUGGCAGUACCAGUCUCAGUAUGAAUCACAUUUCAUCAGUGUAACUGCAGGGCUUCAGGGAUCAUUUUGGAAUACUAGGAUGUUAAUGCAUCAGGUUUUGUUCCAAGCAGUGAGCUACCUCCUGGGAUUUGGGAAUCUCUCUUUUAAUCUAGAUAGCACUAAUGAGCUAGUAAGGACUCCUGACCCUCUUGACUCACUCCCCGUGUCCCAGGAGAGCUCCGAGUGCUAGAAUCAGCCACAUCCGCACUGUCCCACAGCCAGCCCUGAGCCUGAUACAGCUUCAGGCUGUCAGUGUGACCAGUUCCACUUGGAAGCAUUCUAACUGCCUAUGAUCCUUCUUUUCUUUCAAAUUACUGACUAAACAGAGCUCUGCACACCCGUGCUCUGGUUAUCUUGAUGUCAGUGGCAGCAUUGUUGUCUUCUAUAAUGGAAUUUGGCAAGGAGUUGUCGUCAGAUUCCAUCCCCAAGCAAUGAAUAUGCUGGGAUAUGGAGGAGAUGGCCCUUGAAGGUGAAGGUGGUUUGCUAUGGACUUUCCAAGCCUCAUGGGGUCACAGGAGGGGCUGUUUAAGAGGUGGCUGCAUCUAGAGUGUGUGAGGAUGGGACUGAUUCCUGGUGCAAUGCUAGGCUCAAGGGCACUAGGAUUAGGGCUGUGAGUGCUCCUGCCCUAAGUCUGCAUAAGAUAAAAGGGGCAAAAAGUCUCUGUUGAGGUCCCUUGUCUCUUUUGCUAUCUUCACCUGAACUGUUUCUCUUCUCUGUGAUGCCCCCCUGCCAUGUGCUUUGGAGCAGGACAACUCUAGGCAGAAAAUUCUAUGACCUAUGAGCUAAAUAAACUUUUCCCUGUUUAA